This 387-nucleotide ribosomal RNA is filed under the name uncultured bacterium. RNAcentral describes it as "bacterial SSU rRNA". It matches the Rfam family "Bacterial small subunit ribosomal RNA", at positions 28 to 417 of the family's 1533-position model. The record is from RNAcentral.
GACGAACGCUGGCGGCGUGCUUAACACAUGCAAGUCGAGCGGUAAGGCCCCUUCGGGGGUACACGAGCGGCGAACGGGUGAGUAACACGUGGGUGACCUGCCCUCAGCUCUGGGAUAAGCCCGGGAAACUGGGUCUAAUACCGGAUAUGACUCCAUGACGCAUGUUGUGGGGUGGAAAGCCUUGUGCGGCUGAGGAUGGGCCCGCGGCCUAUCAGCUUGUUGGUGGGGUGAUGGCCACCAAGGCGACGACGGGUAGCCGGCCUGAGAGGGCGACCGGCCACACUGGGACUGAGAUACGGCCCAGACUCCUACGGGAGGCAGCAGUGGGGAAUCUUGCGCAAUGGGCGAAAGCCUGACGCAGCGACGCCGCGUGAGGGAUGACGGCCU